UUCUAUGAUGUUCAGCUUUUCUGAUGUUCGGAUUCAAGUAGAUGUAGUGCUUCUAUGUUCAUGGUGUACAGAUUCAAGUAGAUGUAGUGCUUGAAAAUACCUUGCCGAAGACUCUGAAGACCCUGAUAAAAAAAUUGACAUCCUAGGAUGGUGGAAAGAGAAUUCAUCUAGGUUCCCAAUCUUGGCAAAUAUGGCUCGUGAUAUUCUUGCUAUCCCCAUUACAACGGUGGCUUCUGAGUCAGCCUUUAGCACAAGUGGACGCAUACUUGAUGACUUUAGGACAUCUCUAACUCCAUUUAUGGUACAAGCUUUAGUUUGUACGCAAGACUGGCUGAGAAGGUCAACAAAUCCUGUCGACAUCAAGGAGAACUUGGAAGAAUUAGAAGAGCUAGAAAAAGAGUUGAUUGAAGAAUUUGGUGACAAGGUGAAGUGAAAGCGCAAGGUCAAUGGUGGUGUUGUUGCUUCUUCCAUGGCCAAUUCGACCAACAAAGUGAGAUCCACAUCCACUCAUGGUUGAACUGAAAUCAUGUGGAAUGUGUGCUAUUCUCAUUAUCUUGUGCUUGUAAUUUGUGACGAGACUUAGAGAAUUGAGAACAGUGAGAGUACUGUGUUGAUGUCAAGUACUAUGUGGUUUGCUGCUUAUGUCAAGUGUUGAACUUAUGUGGAAUCUUAUGUUCGUUGUUUGUUGUUGCAAUGAAAUCAUGUACUUAA
Long non-coding RNA from Triticum aestivum (bread wheat), 711 nucleotides. RefSeq lists it as uncharacterized. The transcript is spliced from 2 exons. NCBI's taxonomy places the organism in Eukaryota, Viridiplantae, Streptophyta, Magnoliopsida, Poales, Poaceae. The record is from RefSeq and is a predicted model, not a curated record.